RNAcentral lists this ribosomal RNA (433 nucleotides) under uncultured bacterium. Its description in RNAcentral is "partial 16S ribosomal RNA". It matches the Rfam family "Bacterial small subunit ribosomal RNA", at positions 29 to 506 of the family's 1533-position model. The record is from RNAcentral.
AGCGAACGCUGGCGGCAGGCCUAACACAUGCAAGUCGAACGAACCUUUCGGGGUUAGUGGCGGACGGGUGAGUAACACGUGGGAACGUGCCUUUAGGUUCGGAAUAACUCAGGGAAACUUGUGCUAAUACCGAAUGUGCCCUUCGGGGGAAAGAUUAAUCGCCUUUAGAGCGGCCCGCGUCUGAUUAGCUAGUUGGUUGAGGUAAUGGCUCACCAAGGCGACGAUCAGUAGCUGGUCUGAGAGGAUGAUCAGCCACAUUGGGACUGAGACACGGCCCAAACCCCUACGGGGGGCAGCAGUGGGGAAUCUUGCGAAAUGGGCGAAAGCCUGACGCAGCCAUGCCGGGUGAAUGAUGAAGGUUUUAGGAUUGUAAAAUUCUUUCCCCGGGGACGAUAAUGACGGUACCCGGGGAAGAAACCCCGGCUAACUUCGU